AGAGUUUGAUCCUGGCUCAGAUUGAACGCUGGCGGCAUGCCUUACACAUGCAAGUCGAACGGCAGCACGGAGCUUGCUCUGGUGGCGAGUGGCGAACGGGUGAGUAAUAUAUCGGAACGUACCCUAGAGUGGGGGAUAACGUAGCGAAAGUUACGCUAAUACCGCAUACGAUCUAAGGAUGAAAGUGGGGGAUCGCAAGACCUCAUGCUCGUGGAGCGGCCGAUAUCUGAUUAGCUAGUUGGUAGGGUAAAAGCCUACCAAGGCAUCGAUCAGUAGCUGGUCUGAGAGGACGACCAGCCACACUGGAACUGAGACACGGUCCAGACUCCUACGGGAGGCAGCAGUGGGGAAUUUUGGACAAUGGGCGCAAGCCUGAUCCAGCAAUGCCGCGUGAGUGAAGAAGGCCUUCGGGUUGUAAAGCUCUUUUGUCAGGGAAGAAACGGUGGAGGCUAAUAUCCUCUGCUAAUGACGGUACCUGAAGAAUAAGCACCGGCUAACUACGUGCCAGCAGCCGCGGUAAUACGUAGGGUGCAAGCGUUAAUCGGAAUUACUGGGCGUAAAGCGUGCGCAGGCGGUUUUGUAAGUCUGAUGUGAAAUCCCCGGGCUCAACCUGGGAAUUGCAUUGGAGACUGCAAGGCUAGAAUCUGGCAGAGGGGGGUAGAAUUCCACGUGUAGCAGUGAAAUGCGUAGAUAUGUGGAGGAACACCGAUGGCGAAGGCAGCCCCCUGGGUCAAGAUUGACGCUCAUGCACGAAAGCGUGGGGAGCAAACAGGAUUAGAUACCCUGGUAGUCCACGCCCUAAACGAUGUCUACUAGUUGUCGGGUCUUAAUUGACUUGGUAACGCAGCUAACGCGUGAAGUAGACCGCCUGGGGAGUACGGUCGCAAGAUUAAAACUCAAAGGAAUUGACGGGGACCCGCACAAGCGGUGGAUGAUGUGGAUUAAUUCGAUGCAACGCG
This 959-nucleotide ribosomal RNA is filed under the name uncultured bacterium. Its description in RNAcentral is "bacterial SSU rRNA". It matches the Rfam family "Bacterial small subunit ribosomal RNA", at positions 8 to 963 of the family's 1533-position model. The record is from RNAcentral.